This 74-nucleotide transfer RNA is filed under the name candidate division SR1 bacterium. Its description in RNAcentral is "tRNA-Gln". It matches the Rfam family "tRNA". Rfam says of the family: Transfer RNA (tRNA) molecules are approximately 80 nucleotides in length. Lineage: Bacteria; Candidatus Absconditibacteriota. The record is from RNAcentral.
UCGGGGAUCGUCUAGCGGUAGGACGACUGGUUUUGGUUCAGUUAACCGGGGUUCGAUUCCCUGUCCCCGAACCA